UAGGGGAUUUUGCACAAUGGGCGCAAGCCUGAUGCAGCAACGCCGCGUGAGUGAAGAAGGCUCUUGGGUUGUAAAGCUCUUUCGGCCAAGAAGAAGGGAUGCCCCGCGAACAGCAUGGCAUUCUGACGGUACUGGAAGAAGAAGCACCUGCUAACUACGUGCCAGCAGCAGCGGUAAUACGUAGGGUGCAAGCGUUGUUCGGAAUUACUGGGCGUAAAGGGCGCGUAGGCGGGCCCGUAUGUCGAUUGUGAAAGCCCAGGGCUCAACCUUGGAAUUGCAGUCGAAACUGCGGGUCUUGAAUGCUUGAGGGGAUGGCGGAAUUCCCGGUGUAGAAGUGAAAUUCGUAGAUAUCGGGAAGAACACCUGAGGCGAAGGCGGCUAUCUGGCGAUGCAUUGACGCUGAGGCGCGAAAGCGUGGGGAGCAAACAG
This 429-nucleotide ribosomal RNA is filed under the name uncultured bacterium. RNAcentral describes it as "bacterial SSU rRNA". It matches the Rfam family "Bacterial small subunit ribosomal RNA", at positions 355 to 775 of the family's 1533-position model. The record is from RNAcentral.